RNAcentral lists this long non-coding RNA (529 nucleotides) under Physcomitrium patens. Its description in RNAcentral is "long non-coding RNA (PPAT_LNC009658)". The record is from RNAcentral. Lineage: Eukaryota; Viridiplantae; Streptophyta; Bryopsida; Funariales; Funariaceae.
GGUAAGUAUGUAGCACUUGAAGAAGAUAUUAGAGGGGCCAGACUAUAAUAGUCAUGAGCAGGAAUAAGCUUGGUGCUAUCUCUUGUUUCUUGUUUAUUUUGUUGUUUUAGGUUUUGAUCAUUGUAAAGUGAAUUUGUGGAAUAAAUCAAAGAUUGUUUUAUAAGAUAUUGAGUAUGUAAUUGGAGUACUAUGUGAUUGAAUUAUUAUGAGAAGAUAUUGGGAGUUUUUUUAUCAGAUUUUGUGGAAGAUUGUUCAUGGAUGGAAGAUUAUGAUUUUUUUUUAUUGAGAGUUGUGUAUGUUUCAAUAAAAGAAGUCUUUAAUUACAAAAAUUGUAUGAAGCCAGAUUGAUUGGAAUGGAAGUCUGUUAUUUUUGGUAUUGGAUGGAACUUAUGUAUUUUGAGUGGUCUUUUGAGAGUGCCGGGUUGCACUUUGUUGUUAAUAGUUGAUGAAGGAGUAUUGUUAAUAAGAGAAAGUAUUGUAGUAUUCUUUGGUGUUUUUAUUUGUUCAAAAUACUAUUAAUUGUGUGACC